GGUCAGUUGAACUUCAGUAGUCGUUCAGGAGAGAUGUGCUGCCCCUCGUACUGCCACCCCCGCCGGCUUUACCGCUUCCUCAUCCUUUUAAUACACCUAAAUAACGUGUGGUAACUGAGGAGUGCUGUGCCUGGCUGUGUCUGCUGCAACACUGACCAGUCUGAGGAGUGCUGUGCCUGGCUCUCUGCUGCAACACUGACCAGUCUGAGGAGUGCUGUGCCUGGUUGUGUCUGCUGCAACACUGAUCAAAACAGCAACCUUGACCAGUCUGACCCAUAACAUAGUGUUAUAUGGAGAUGCAGCAGUUGGAGACGUCGUUAGAGGUGGACAGGGCCCACUUGUAAGGUACCUACUUGCUGCUGGACGAAGAGACGCAAGAUGUCUUAAGGAAACACGCCCAAUGUUUCCACCCGUCCCGGGGAUCGAACCAUGGGACACAAUGUGAGAAGAGUGCGCUUCCAACCGAGCAACGGGACAGCCUUAAAAAACUAGAUCUUCCAACACUCUGCGAGAGUAUGUUAAUGUACUUAGCAUACAGCAAAAAACGUAAAAGGUGUAUAGAAAAUCUAUGUAAAUGAAUUUACCAAUAUCGUGUUGACAUUCUUGAGAGAGAUGGAUAAUCCAGGUUGCAUGACAACGUUUCGCCCUGUGUAGAGCUUUAUCAAGUCGUUUCUCUAUGUGGAGCUUUAUGAUGUUAUGUUUCACUCUCUGUAAAUCCUUAAACAUUGCUUUACUCUAUGCAGAACUUUUUUUUUACUCAGGGUUUGACAAGGUUAAGGAUCCCUAGCUUUAUUGACAGCUAUUUACAGGUUAAGGAUUCCUAACUUUAUUGGCAAGCUAAGAGCUGUUACCUACAUCAGCUCAUUUGAAAGCUUUUUAAGUCGUGACUUGAUUACUCUCCAUAAAGCCUUUACCUCCCUUAUGUUGGCAAUACGCCAUUUACAUCUACUCCUAAGAGUGCUUAAAAUACGCCAGCAUUAUGAACAUCAAAAUGGUAUGCAAUACCGACAGGUUGUUAGGUAAGACUAUCAGAUAGUUCCUGACCAUGGAACUGAACUUCUCCAGGCCGAGGGACUGACAACCUCAAAUUCUACGACUUCAAGGGUGAUGGACUGAUUACAUCGUCUUCACAUCUCUACUGUUCCUGCCUACUUUCUGUAUUCGACUGAAGAAGCCUACUGUGUAGGCGAAACGUUUCGGAAUAAAGUUGUCUAACUGUUGCAUAUGUCUUACCACGCCAGCAUUAGCGUAUACUCCCACAUACCACCUGUCUGGGGUCCCAAUAUAUCUUAGGAAUUCUUGCGUAGUACUCAACAUUCCAGUCAGAAUCAAUAGCUAAGAUUCGUAAAUCUUACCAAAGGUUCUCCUUGCUUCCCCCGCCUAGACCAACAGGAUUUCUAAGAGGAAUCUGAGGAUACUAUCCUCAAGAGGGUCAGAUUUAUAGGCAGUGUGAUGAAUGGCAGGCUAUUGCAACCUGCUAGAUAUAUUCAUCACAUUUGUCAGACACUGCAACAUCAUGGGAUCUUGGUACAAAGACUUCAACGCUUGCCCAACCUUUGGACGACGACCUACUUACGCUAGUGGCAGGUCCCACUGUGAUCCCGCCGCCUCCUGCUUCAACUCAUCUCACCGCAGUAUAUAAGCCACCUCUCUGGCCCUAUUCUGCACUUCCUACAAGAGUGAUGGACUGAACACAUC
Molecule: non-coding RNA, 1698 nt
Organism: Cherax quadricarinatus
Lineage: Eukaryota; Metazoa; Arthropoda; Malacostraca; Decapoda; Parastacidae
Source: RefSeq, a predicted model, not a curated record